UACAGGGGAUGCAAGCGUUAUCCGGAAUGAUUGGGCGUAAAGCGUCUGUAGGUGGUUUUGAAAGUCGAUUGUCAAAAACCAAGGCUUAACCUUGGGCCGGCAAUGGAAACUUCAAGACUAGAGUAUGGUAGAGGUAGAGGGAAUUACCGGUGUAACGGUGAAAUGUGCAGAUAUCGGUAAGAACACCAAAGGCGAAAGCACUCUACUGGGCCAAAACUGACACUCAGAGACGAAAGCUAGGGGAGCGAAUAGG
This 253-nucleotide ribosomal RNA is filed under the name uncultured prokaryote. RNAcentral's name for it is "partial 16S ribosomal RNA". It matches the Rfam family "Bacterial small subunit ribosomal RNA", at positions 524 to 776 of the family's 1533-position model. The record is from RNAcentral.